Molecule: transfer RNA, 72 nt
Filed under: Hypoxylon sp. CI-4A
Lineage: Eukaryota; Fungi; Ascomycota; Sordariomycetes; Xylariales; Hypoxylaceae
Rfam family: tRNA
About the family: Transfer RNA (tRNA) molecules are approximately 80 nucleotides in length.
Source: Rfam by way of RNAcentral
GCAUCUUUGGUGUAAUGGUUAGCAUUCGGGCCUUCCAAGCUCGAGAUCGGGGUUCAAUUCCCCGGAGAUGCA